GGGGAUUUAGCUCAGUGGCAUAAGUGCCUGCCUGGCAAGCAUGAGGUUGUGAGUUCAGCAAGCAGGAGGUAGUGACUUCAAUCCCCA
This 87-nucleotide transfer RNA is filed under the name Cavia porcellus (domestic guinea pig). The record is from Rfam by way of RNAcentral. Lineage: Eukaryota; Metazoa; Chordata; Mammalia; Rodentia; Caviidae.